Molecule: long non-coding RNA, 1418 nt
Organism: Saccostrea cuccullata (small rock oyster)
Lineage: Eukaryota; Metazoa; Mollusca; Bivalvia; Ostreida; Ostreidae
Exons: 3
Source: RefSeq, a predicted model, not a curated record
UUUGAAGUUUUACUAACAUUGUGCCAGUUUUAUACUUUCAGGGACUCGGAAGAGGAACAACGAUGGAGGAGCAAGGUCGACCAACAGCAAAAGACAGGAUGACGAGUCCAUUUCCCAUCUCUAUGCAGCAACCAAUAUGGCUCAAGGUUCAGAAGAAAUUUGAGGCUGACCAGGAUCCUGAAGUGAAGAGCAGUCCCUCUCCCAUUUAACAGCGUUCAUGAGCAGAAAGUGCGGAAGCAGAGAUAGCCACCUCUGAAGGUCAGUCUGGAGUGUUUUCUGCUGCAUUCAGAAAGUAUGGGGUGUAUAGUAGUUGUAAGUAGCGUUACAAAGGUGUUUCUUAGUCUUAGGUUUAGUUUGUAUAGUAUUUCCGGUAGGUGCAGUUGUGUUGUAGUUUGAGUUAGUAAGUAGGCUUUAGUUGAUAGUUAGACAGCUUAGAGGAGUGUAGGUUAUUAUUGUAAUUAAGGUAUUUGUUAGUUAGUGCAUGAUUAGUGCUUGUGGUGGAUAGGUUUGCAUGAUUAACACCCUAACAAGCAGGGUUCUCCAUGAGCUGUUUUACUGUGUUGGUCCCGACACAGAAAAAUGUUCUCCGACACAGUAAAGAUUCAAAUUUUAUCUGUGUGACACAUUAAAAAUUUUGCUGACACAGUAAGAUCUGUGAUAAUAAAAAAAAAUUGAAACAUACAAAUUCUCUCUAUCUGAAACAUAAUUGAUCAAACAAUUCUACCGUCUUUCAAUUCUAUACGAUAUCUAGAUCACUUAAUUAUGCUUUCACCUUGCAUAAUCAAUUAUUUCCUAGACCCUCAAUGGACUUGACGCAUGAAGGAACAAAGACAAAAAAUUGGAUUUCAAACUUCCAUGUAACGCUUAAUUGGUACUAGUAGUUGCAAUUAAAGUACAUUGUAUUAUUUUUAAAAAUAUAUUUAAAUGUCUUUUCUUUAGAGCCAUGGCUCUAGAAUUAUGUUUGCAAUGUAAAUCAAACAUAACACUGUACCAAAAUCAUUUACUUGAUGUAAAUAAAUAGUUUUCAAUUUUCAAGGAACUUUUAAAAGUAUUUUACUAUUCCGAAGUCUCUUUUUUUGUAAUUCCUUAAUUCGAUCAAUAAAAUUGACAAAAAAAUUAUGACAAAUUUGCUUUAAAAAAUUGUAAGUAGUUCAACUUUAUAGACAAGAAUUUCCUCUGCAUUUCACAACAUGUGCUAAUAUGUUCGACCAUACUAUUUUUGUAAUGAAUUGGUGAUUUUUUUUUUUUUUAAAUUGUGUGCAUGUAUUCUUAAGUAAUUAUAAUGAAUAGUGAGUCAGUUGCAAAUUUGAUCGCUAAAAUACCGUGAAAUUUUAGUGCUUUGCGUAAACUCUGCAACACAGUAAAAUUUCAAACAAUGGAGAACCCUGAACAAGUAACAAGCUACUAAAACUACUAAC